UCGGCGGGGAAGAAAUCGCAUGGGUUAAUACCCUGUGCGGAUGACGGUACCGGCAUAAGAAGCACCGGCUAACUACGUGCCAGCAGCCGCGGUAAUACGUAGGGUGCGAGCGUUAAUCGGAAUUACUGGGCGUAAAGCGUGCGCAGGCGGUUUGUUAAGAUAGGCGUGAAAUCCCCGGGCUCAACCUGGGAACUGCGCUUAUGACUGGCAAGCUAGAGUACGGCAGAGGGGGGUGGAAUUCCACGUGUAGCAGUGAAAUGCGUAGAGAUGUGGAGGAACACCAAUGGCGAAGGCAGCCCCCUGGGUCGAUACUGACGCUCAUGCACGAAAGCGUGGGUAGCAAACAGGAUUAGAUACCCUGGUAGUCCACGCCCUAAACGAUGUCAACUAGGUGUUGGAUGGGUAAAACCAUUUAGUACCGGAGCUAACGCGUGAAGUUGACCGCUGGGGAGUACGGCCGCAAGGUUAAAACUCAAAGGAAUUGACGGGGACCCGCACAAGCGGUGGAUGAUGUGGAUUAAUUCGAUGCAACGCGAAAAACCUUACCUACCCUUGACAUGUCCAGGAGCCUGAAGAGAUUUGGGUGUGCCCGAAAGGGAACUGGAACACAGGUGCUGCAUGGCUGUCGUCAGCUCGUGUCGUGAGAUGUUGGGUUAAGUCCCGCAACGAGCGCAACCCUUGUCGUUAACUGCCAUCAUUUAGUUGGGCACUUUAACGAGACUGCCGGUGACAAACCGGAGGAAGGUGGGGAUGACGUCAAGUCCUCAUGGCCCUUAUGGGUAGGGCUUCACACGUCAUACAAUGGUCGGUACAAAGGGUUGCCAAGCCGCGAGGUGGAGCCAAUCCCAGAAAGCCGAUCGUAGUCCGGAUUGCAGGCUGCAACUCGCCUGCAUGAAGUCGGAAUCGCUAGUAAUCGUGGAUCAGCAUGUCACGGUGAAUACGUUCCCGGGUCUUGUACACACCGCCCGUCACACCAUGGGAGCGGGUUCCGCCAGAAGUAGGUAGCCUAACCGCAAGGGGGGCGCUUACCACGGCGGGGUUCGUGACUGGGGUGAAGUCGUAACAAGGUAGCCGUA
This 1076-nucleotide ribosomal RNA is filed under the name uncultured beta proteobacterium. RNAcentral's name for it is "bacterial SSU rRNA". It matches the Rfam family "Bacterial small subunit ribosomal RNA", at positions 434 to 1504 of the family's 1533-position model. The record is from RNAcentral. Lineage: Bacteria; Pseudomonadati; Pseudomonadota; Betaproteobacteria.